This 454-nucleotide long non-coding RNA is filed under the name Pongo abelii (Sumatran orangutan). RNAcentral describes it as "lincRNA". The record is from RNAcentral. Lineage: Eukaryota; Metazoa; Chordata; Mammalia; Primates; Hominidae.
UCCUCACUGCUCGCAGUGUCCACAGGCAGCCGCAGCAGUAUCUGGGAGUUUAUUAGAUAUGUAGGAUGGCAGACCCACUGCAGGCCUCCUGAGUCAGAAUCUGUCCUUUAAAAAGAUCCCCAGACCAAUAGGAAUUAAAUCCAAGAAGCAAAGCUUUGUAAAAUAUGGUGCAGGUCAACCACAAACAUUUCAAAGGGCACCACCAUUGAGACAACCCGGAAGUGGAGGAAACAAUUGAACAACAUUAGAGUCAAGUGAGAGUUGACUGUGAAGGCAUGGGGAGUUUCACAGUGACUCCUGGGUUUUGAGCUUUUGUGAAGACAACAAAAGAUGCCUCUUGAUUUUAAUUUUUCUAAUCAGCCUUCCCAAAUUUAUUAUGGAAAAUUACUUUAAGUGUUUAUACUUUCCACCUCUUCUCUGUAUGAUCUGUAUAAAAUAAAAUUACUUUACAUGA